Pongo abelii (Sumatran orangutan) is the source of this 148-nucleotide unclassified non-coding RNA. It matches the Rfam family "Metazoan signal recognition particle RNA". Rfam says of the family: The signal recognition particle (SRP) is a universally conserved ribonucleoprotein. The record is from Ensembl. NCBI's taxonomy places the organism in Eukaryota, Metazoa, Chordata, Mammalia, Primates, Hominidae.
GCUGGGCAUGGUGGCGCAUGCCUGUAAUCCCAGCUACUAGGGAGGCUGAGGCAGGAGAAUCGCUUGAACCCAGGAGGUGGAGGUGGCGGUGAGCUGAGAUUGCCCCAUUGCAUUCCAGCCUGGGCAACAGAGUGAGACCCUGUCUCCA